AGUAAUGCUUGGGAAUCUAGCUCAUGGAGGGGGAUAACUACGGGAAACUGUAGCUAAUACCGCGUAGUAUCGGAAGAUGAAAGUGUGGGACCUUCGGGCCACAUGCCAUAGGAUGAGCCCAAGUGGGAUUAGGUAGUUGGUGAGGUAAAGGCUCACCAAGCCGACGAUCUCUAGCUGGUCUGAGAGGAUGACCAGCCACACUGGGACUGAGACACGGCCCAG
This 222-nucleotide ribosomal RNA is filed under the name uncultured bacterium. RNAcentral describes it as "partial 16S ribosomal RNA". It matches the Rfam family "Bacterial small subunit ribosomal RNA", at positions 109 to 334 of the family's 1533-position model. The record is from RNAcentral.